Molecule: ribosomal RNA, 253 nt
Filed under: uncultured bacterium
Lineage: Bacteria
Description: partial 16S ribosomal RNA
Rfam family: Bacterial small subunit ribosomal RNA
Source: RNAcentral
UACGGAGGGUGCAAGCGUUAGUCGGAAUUACUGGGCGUAAAGGGUGCGUAGGCGGGUAUAUAAGUCAGAUGUGAAAUUCCGAGGCUCAACCUCGGAGCUGCAUAUGAAACUGUAUAUCUUGCGGAAUGGCGGAGAAAAUGGAAUUCCACAUGUAGCGGUGAAAUGCGUAGAUAUGUGGAAGAACACCUGUGGCGAAAGCGGUUUUCUAGCCUACUCCGGACGCUGAGGCACGAAAGCAAGGGGAUCAAACAGG